CAUCUUGAGUUUUCUGAGAGCGUCUCAGAUCUGAAACUCCUCCUCCUACUUUCCAUCUAUGGAAGAGUCCAAAUCAAGAAGGAGGCACCUGAUCAACCAUCAAAGAAGGAUCAGCGUAGUACUAGCAUACUGUGCUGAUUUCCUGAAGUAGGACUUCUGAUCGAGAUUCGUGGGCUCGUGUGGAUGACUCCUAGAGGCCGGAUGCAUGUGCGGCUUACAACAUCAUCCUCAAGCCCAGAUCAGUGAGGUUAGAAUGUCUAACUUGCAAGGUAAUAGAUCUGAUCUAUUGUUUAAUACAUACAUUAGAUGUAAUAUAGAAACAUGUUGAUAUCAUCAACAUAUAGUUCAUGCUAUAUUUAUAUAUUUUAAUUUUUGAUUUAAUAUUAUAUAAUAAUUAUAUAAUAAGAUCUUAGAUCUAGAAAUUUUCUGAUUUUAGAAAAUAAUUUUGAUUUAUUUUAGUCUUCCGCUGUAUGAUCUUGAAAAAGUUUUAAGAUCUAACCCUGAAACCCU
RNAcentral lists this long non-coding RNA (510 nucleotides) under Elaeis guineensis (African oil palm). Its description in RNAcentral is "long non-coding RNA (EGUI_LNC073638)". The record is from RNAcentral. Lineage: Eukaryota; Viridiplantae; Streptophyta; Magnoliopsida; Arecales; Arecaceae.